Non-coding RNA from Nylanderia fulva, 347 nucleotides. Lineage: Eukaryota; Metazoa; Arthropoda; Insecta; Hymenoptera; Formicidae. The record is from RefSeq and is a predicted model, not a curated record.
ACAAUAAUAUAGACACUAAUCACUGGAACGAAGCGGAAGGAAUUCAGAUUAUCGAUGCAUUGAACGAAUACAUAUUUGGCAAAGUAAAUUUCCGACCGUGCAAAGUAAACGAUACAAAUCUAGAAUACAUGUGUAUAGAUAAUGUACUAAAAAGUAGAUAUGGACAAGAAAUGAUUAUAUUAAUAAUAUAUCACAGCGUGGCAAGAAGACUUGGUCUACGUUCCGACAUUGUGGCAUUCGGUGAACGAUUAGAACUAUCUUACUGUAUACAUUGGAAAUCCAGAUAUGGCACGAUUAAUCCAGCAAAUGAAAGAUGUUUUAGUGUAAUGUUUAACAAAUUCCCGGAU